RNAcentral lists this small nuclear RNA (23 nucleotides) under Arabidopsis thaliana (thale cress). Its description in RNAcentral is "snRNA_10878". The record is from RNAcentral. Lineage: Eukaryota; Viridiplantae; Streptophyta; Magnoliopsida; Brassicales; Brassicaceae.
UGACAGUUUUAUACGUUAACUUU